This 3623-nucleotide long non-coding RNA is filed under the name Nasonia vitripennis (jewel wasp). Its description in RNAcentral is "uncharacterized LOC116415832". Lineage: Eukaryota; Metazoa; Arthropoda; Insecta; Hymenoptera; Pteromalidae. The record is from RNAcentral.
AAAUAGCGUCAAAUAUUGCCUCCUGUUCUCCUUCUGCUGUGACCUCUAGAGGCGGCCACAUCGGUAAAUCCUAUUAUUUAGAAUAAUAAAUUUAUCUGGAAUAUACUUCGAUAGUUAUUCACACAAAUUUAUUACAGUAUCAGAAGCAUAAGAAAUGUUCGGAAUACGGCGUACGUUGAGUAUAUAAAAAAAUUUUCUCUUGUUUAUAAGUGUCGUCCCCUCAUGCGCGAAAAAAUGGAUAAAUAGCGUGAAAUAUUGCUUCCUGCGCUCAUUCUGCUCUGACCUCUAAAAGCGACCACAUCGGUAAAUCGUAUUAUUUUAUGUAUUAAAUUUAUCUGGAAUAUACUUUUAUAGUUAUUCACACAAAUUUAUUACAGUAUCAGAAGCAUAAUAAAUGUUCGGAAUACUGCGUACGUUGAGUAUAUAAAAAAAUUUUCUCUUGUUUAUAAGUGCGUCUGCGCAUGCGCGAAAAAUGGAUAAAUAGCGUGAAAUAUUGCUUCCUGUGCUCAUUCUGCUGUGACCUCUAGAGGCGACCACAUCGGUAAAUCGUAUUAUUUUAUGUAUUAAAUUUAUCUGGAAUAUACUUGUAUAGUUAUUCACACAAAUUUAUUGCAGUAUCAGAAGCAUAAGAAAUGUUCGGAAUACGGCGUACGUUGAGUAUAUAAAAAAAUUUUCUCUUGUUUAUAAGUGCGUCUGCGCAUGCGCGAAAAAUGGAUAAAUAGCGUGAAAUAUUGCUUCCUGUGCUCAUUCUGCUGUGACCUCUAGAGGCGGCCACAUGGUAUCAGAAGUAAACUAGAGAUUCAGAAUACUGUGCAAGUUGAGUUUAUAAAAGAAUUUUCUCUUGUUUAUAAGUGCGUCUGCGCAUGCGCGAAAAAUGGAUAAAUAGCGUGAAAUAUUGCUUCCUGUGCUCAUUCUGCUGUGACCUCUAGAGGCGGCCACAUGGUAUCAGAAGUAAACUAGAGAUUCAGAAUACUGUGCAAGUUGAGUUUAUAAAAGAAUUUUCUCUGGUUUAUAAGUGUCGUCCCCUCAUGCGCAAAAAAUGGAUAAAUAGCGUCAAAUAUUGCCUCCUGUUCUCCUUCUGCUGUGACCUCUAGAGGCGGCCACAUCGUAUCAGAAGCAUAAUAAAUGUUCAGAAUACUGUGCAAGUUGAGUUUAUAAAAAAAUUUUCUCUGGUUUCUAAGUGUCGUCUGCGCAUGCAAGAAGAAAAUGUAUGAAGAGUAUGUAAUAUUGGUUCCUGCGCUCAUUCUGAAUUGACCUGUGGAAGCGGACAAAUCUUAUCAGAAGCAUAAUAAAUGUUCGGAAUACUGCGUACGUUGAGUAUAUAAAAAAAUUUUCUCUUGUUUAUAAGUGCGUCUGCUCAUGCGCGAAAAAUGGAUAAAUAGCGUGAAAUAUUGCUUCCUGUGCUCAUUCUGCUGUGACCUCUAGAGGCGACCACAUCGGUAAAUCGUAUUAUUUUAUGUAUUAAAUUUAUCUGGAAUAUACUUUUAUAGUUAUUCACACAAAUUUAUUACAGUAUCAGAAGCAUAAGAAAUGUUCGGAAUACGGCGUACGUUGAGUAUAUAAAAAAAAUGUUCUCUUGUUUAUAAGUUUCGUCUGUGCAUGCGCCAAAAAGGGAUAACUAGGGUGAAAUAUUGCUUCCUGUGCUCAUUCUGCUGUGACCUCUAGAGGCGACCACAUCGUAUCAGAAGCAUAAGAAAUGUUCGGAAUACGGCGUACGUUGAGUAUAUAAAAAAAUUUUCUCUUGUUUAUAAGUGCGUCUGCGCAUGCGCGAAAAAUGGAUAAAUAGCGUGAAAUAUUGCUUCCUGUGCUCAUUCUGCUGUGACCUCUAGAGGCGGCCACAUGGUAUCAGAAGUAAACUAGAGAUUCAGAAUACUGUGCAAGUUGAGUUUAUAAAAGAAUUUUCUCUUGUUUAUAAGUGCGUCUGCGCAUGCGCGAAAAAUGGAUAAAUAGCGUGAAAUAUUGCUUCCUGUGCUCAUUCUGCUGUGACCUCUAGAGGCGGCCACAUGGUAUCAGAAGUAAACUAGAGAUUCAGAAUACUGUGCAAGUUGAGUUUAUAAAAGAAUUUUCUCUGGUUUAUAAGUGUCGUCCCCUCAUGCGCAAAAAAUGGAUAAAUAGCGUCAAAUAUUGCCUCCUGUUCUCCUUCUGCUGUGACCUCUAGAGGCGGCCACAUCGUAUCAGAAGCAUAAUAAAUGUUCAGAAUACUGUGCAAGUUGAGUUUAUAAAAAAAUUUUCUCUGGUUUCUAAGUGUCGUCUGCGCAUGCAAGAAGAAAAUGUAUGAAGAGUAUGUAAUAUUGGUUCCUGCGCUCAUUCUGAAUUGACCUGUGGAAGCGGACAAAUCUUAUCAGAAGCAUAAUAAAUGUUCGGAAUACUGCGUACGUUGAGUAUAUAAAAAAAUUUUCUCUUGUUUAUAAGUGCGUCUGCUCAUGCGCGAAAAAUGGAUAAAUAGCGUGAAAUAUUGCUUCCUGUGCUCAUUCUGCUGUGACCUCUAGAGGCGACCACAUCGGUAAAUCGUAUUAUUUUAUGUAUUAAAUUUAUCUGGAAUAUACUUUUAUAGUUAUUCACACAAAUUUAUUACAGUAUCAGAAGCAUAAGAAAUGUUCGGAAUACGGCGUACGUUGAGUAUAUAAAAAAAAUGUUCUCUUGUUUAUAAGUUUCGUCUGUGCAUGCGCCAAAAAAGGGAUAACUAGGGUGAAAUAUUGCUUCCUGUGCUCAUUCUGCUGUGACCUCUAGAGGCGACCACAUCGUAUCAGAAGCAUAAGAAAUGUUCGGAAUACGGCGUACGUUGAGUAUAUAAAAAAAUUUUCUCUUGUUUAUAAGUGCGUCUGCGCAUGCGCGAAAAAUGGAUAAAUAGCGUGAAAUAUUGCUUCCUGUGCUCAUUCUGCUGUGACCUCUAGAGGCGGCCACAUGGUAUCAGAAGUAAACUAGAGAUUCAGAAUACUGUGCAAGUUGAGUUUAUAAAAGAAUUUUCUCUUGUUUAUAAGUGCGUCUGCGCAUGCGCGAAAAAUGGAUAAAUAGCGUGAAAUAUUGCUUCCUGUGCUCAUUCUGCUGUGACCUCUAGAGGCGGCCACAUGGUAUCAGAAGUAAACUAGAGAUUCAGAAUACUGUGCAAGUUGAGUUUAUAAAAGAAUUUUCUCUUGUUUAUAAGUGCGUCUGCGCAUGCGCGAAAAAUGGAUAAAUAGCGUGAAAUAUUGCUUCCUGUGCUCAUUCUGCUGUGACCUCUAGAGGCGGCCACAUGGUAUCAGAAGUAAACUAGAGAUUCAGAAUACUGUGCAAGUUGAGUUUAUAAAAGAAUUUUCUCUGGUUUAUAAGUGUCGUCCCCUCAUGCGCAAAAAAUGGAUAAAUAGCGUCAAAUAUUGCCUCCUGUUCUCCUUCUGCUGUGACCUCUAGAGGCGGCCACAUCGUAUCAGAAGCAUAAUAAAUGUUCAGAAUACUGUGCAAGUUGAGUUUAUAAAAAAAUUUUCUCUGGUUUCUAAGUGUCGUCUGCGCAUGCAAGAAGAAAAUGUAUGAAGAGUAUGUAAUAUUGGUUCCUGCGCUCAUUCUGAAUUGACCUCUGGAAGCGGUCAAAUCUGUAAACCCAAUUAUUUUAAAUAUUAAAUUUAUCUGGAAUAUCCUUUUAUAUUUAU